CGUGGUUAGUGUGCUGGGAAGUUGUUUCAACAUGUAACUGUUUUGAACACAGUAACUUCCCCAUAUGUCCCUGCCAUGGGUGGUAGCCCAGGAGCCUCUCGAUGGCCGGUCAGAGACCACUGAGCCUGGCCAACUGGGUACUGUCAACAUCCCUAAGACAGAGAUAGUGUGUUGCUCGUGGCAGCCUGGCCCCUGAAGCUGGCCUGUUGCUGGGUUGGGGAGCAUUCUCUACAUGCCAAGCACAGAAGCUGGGGACCCCACAUGGAGCAGCCUUGCUUCAAAAUGAAGCCAGUAGGGAGGAAAGCAGAGCCCAAUCCCCAGGGAGAAGACCUGUGGAAAACCCUCGUGCCUAGAAGGAUUCAGGGUCUUCACGGUGUGGCAGGGGAAGGGACAGGCGGAGAGGACCCAUCAACCCGAGUUU
Ailuropoda melanoleuca (giant panda) is the source of this 421-nucleotide long non-coding RNA. RefSeq lists it as uncharacterized. The transcript has 3 exons. The record is from RefSeq and is a predicted model, not a curated record. NCBI's taxonomy places the organism in Eukaryota, Metazoa, Chordata, Mammalia, Carnivora, Ursidae.